AGUGAACGCUGGCGGCGUGCUUAACACAUGCAAGUCGAACGAGAAACGGAUUUAGCUUGCUAAAUUGCAGUCUAAGUGGCGCACGGGUGAGUAAUGUAUAGGUAAUAUGCCUCUUACUAAGGGAUAACAAUUGGAAACGAUUGCUAAUACCUUAUAUGCCUUUAAUACGAAAGUAUGCAAGGGAAAGAUUUAUUGGUAAGAGAUUAGCCUGUAUGGUAUCAGCUUGUUGGUGAGGUAAUGGCUCACCAAGGCUAUGACGCCUAACUGGUUUGAGAGGAUGAUCAGUCACACUGGAACUGAGACACGGUCCAGACUCCUACGGGAGGCAGCAGUGGGGAAUAUUGCACAAUGGACGAAAGUCUGAUGCAGCAACGCCGCGUGGAGGAUGACACAUUUCGGUGCGUAAACUCCUUUUAUAUAGGAAGAUAAUGACGGUACUAUAUGAAUAAGCACCGGCUAACUCCGUGCCAGCAGCCGCCGCCG
This 483-nucleotide ribosomal RNA is filed under the name uncultured bacterium. Its description in RNAcentral is "partial 16S ribosomal RNA". It matches the Rfam family "Bacterial small subunit ribosomal RNA", at positions 29 to 523 of the family's 1533-position model. The record is from RNAcentral.